Molecule: ribosomal RNA, 254 nt
Filed under: uncultured bacterium
Lineage: Bacteria
Description: partial 16S ribosomal RNA
Rfam family: Bacterial small subunit ribosomal RNA
Source: RNAcentral
UACGUAGGGAGCAAGCGUUGUCCGGAAUCAUUGGGCGUAAAGAGCUCGUAGGCGGCUCAGUAAGUCGGGUGUGAAACCUCCAGGCUCAACCUGGAGACGCCACCCGAUACUGCUGUGGCUAGAGUCCAGUAGGGGAGUGUGGAAUUCCCGGUGUAGCGGUGAAAUGCGCAGAUAUCGGGAGGAACACCAGCGGCGAAGGCGGCACUCUGGGCUGGUACUGACGCUGAGGAGCGAAAGCGUGGGUAGCAAACAGG